RNAcentral lists this ribosomal RNA (236 nucleotides) under uncultured Glomeromycotina. RNAcentral describes it as "partial 18S ribosomal RNA". It matches the Rfam family "Eukaryotic small subunit ribosomal RNA", at positions 652 to 886 of the family's 1831-position model. The record is from RNAcentral. Lineage: Eukaryota; Fungi; Glomeromycota.
GUGGUGUAGGUUGGUCAUGCCUCUGGUAUGUACUGGUCUCACUGAUUCCUCCUUCCUGAUGAGCCGUAAUGCCAUUAAUUUGGUGUUGCGAGGAAUCUGGACUGUUACUUUGAAAAAUUAGAGUGUUUAAAGCAGGCUAACGCUUGAAUACAUUAGCAUGGAAUAAUGAAAUAGGACGUUCGAUCCUAUUUUGUUGGUUUCUAGGAUUGACGUAAUGAUUAAUAGGGAUAGUUGGG